RNAcentral lists this ribosomal RNA (462 nucleotides) under uncultured bacterium. RNAcentral describes it as "partial 16S ribosomal RNA". It matches the Rfam family "Bacterial small subunit ribosomal RNA", at positions 28 to 507 of the family's 1533-position model. The record is from RNAcentral.
GACGAACGCUGGCGGCGUGCUUAACACAUGCAAGUCGAACGGAAAGGCCCUUCGGGGUACUCGAGUGGCGAACGGGUGAGUAACACGUGGGUGAUCUGCCCUGCACUUUGGGAUAAGCCUGGGAAACUGGGUCUAAUACCGAAUAGGACCACGCGCUUCAUGGUGUGUGGUGGAAAGCUUUUGCGGUGUGGGUUGGGCCCGCGGCCUAUCAGCUUGUUGGUGGGGUAAUGGUCGACCAAGGCGACGCCGGGUAGCCGGCCUGAGAGGGUGACCGGCCACACGGGGACUGAGAUACGGACCAGACUCCUACGGGAGGCAGCAGUGGGGAAUAUUGCACAAUGGGCGCAAGCCUGAUGCAGCGACGCCGCGUGAGGGAUGACGGCCUUCGGGUUGUAAACCUCUUUCAAUAGGGACGAAGCGCAAGUGACGGUACCUAUAGAAGAAGCACCGGCCAACUACGUG